This 435-nucleotide ribosomal RNA is filed under the name uncultured bacterium. RNAcentral describes it as "partial 16S ribosomal RNA". It matches the Rfam family "Bacterial small subunit ribosomal RNA", at positions 29 to 507 of the family's 1533-position model. The record is from RNAcentral.
AGCGAACGCUGGCGGCAGGCUUAACACAUGCAAGUCGAGCGGGCACUUUCGGGUGUCAGCGGCGGACGGGUGCGUAACGCGUGGGAACGUGCCCUCUGGUUCGGAAUAACUCAGGGAAACUUGAGCUAAUACCGGAUACGCCCUUUUGGGGAAAGGCUUGCUGCCGGAGGAUCGGCCCGCGUCUGAUUAGCUAGUUGGUGAGGUAACGGCUCACCAAGGCGACGAUCAGUAGCUGGUCUGAGAGGAUGAUCAGCCACACUGGGACUGAGACACGGCCCAGACUCCUACGGGAGGCAGCAGUGGGGAAUAUUGGACAAUGGGCGCAAGCCUGAUCCAGCCAUGCCGCGUGAGUGAUGAAGGCCUUAGGGUUGUAAAGCUCUUUUAUCCGGGACGAUAAUGACGGUACCGGAGGAAUAAGCCCGGGCUAACUUCGUG